RNAcentral lists this ribosomal RNA (537 nucleotides) under uncultured bacterium. Its description in RNAcentral is "bacterial SSU rRNA". It matches the Rfam family "Bacterial small subunit ribosomal RNA", at positions 8 to 524 of the family's 1533-position model. The record is from RNAcentral.
AGAGUUUGAUCCUGGCUCAGAUUGAACGCUGGCGGCAGGCCUAACACAUGCAAGUCGAGCGGAAACGAGUUAUCUGAACCUUCGGGGAACGAUAACGGCGUCGAGCGGCGGACGGGUGAGUAAUGCCUAGGAAAUUGCCCUGAUGUGGGGGAUAACCAUUGGAAACGAUGGCUAAUACCGCAUAACACCUUCGGGUCAAAGAGGGGGACCUUCGGGCCUCUCGCGUCAGGAUAUGCCUAGGUGGGAUUAGCUAGUUGGUGAGGUAAUGGCUCACCAAGGCGACGAUCCCUAGCUGGUCUGAGAGGAUGAUCAGCCACACUGGAACUGAGACACGGUCCAGACUCCUACGGGAGGCAGCAGUGGGGAAUAUUGCACAAUGGGCGCAAGCCUGAUGCAGCCAUGCCGCGUGUGUGAAGAAGGCCUUCGGGUUGUAAAGCACUUUCAGUCGUGAGGAAGGUAGUGUAGUUAAUAGCUGCAUUAUUUGACGUUAGCGACAGAAGAAGCACCGGCUAACUCCGUGCCAGCAGCCGCGGUAAU